CCGGCGACCGGCGCACGGGUGAGUAACACGUAUGGAACCUGCCCGCAGCAGGGGGAUAAGCGGAAGAAAUUCCGUCUAAUACCGCGUAACGCGGCCUAGGGACAUCCCAAGGCCGCCAAAGGGAGCAAUCCCGGCCACGGAUGGGCAUGCGGCGCAUUAGCUAGUCGGCGGGGUAACGGCCCACCGAGGCGACGAUGCGUAGGGGUUCUGAGAGGAAGGCCCCCCACACUGGUACUGAGACACGGACCAGACUCCUACGGGAGGCAGCAG
Molecule: ribosomal RNA, 270 nt
Filed under: uncultured bacterium
Lineage: Bacteria
Description: partial 16S ribosomal RNA
Rfam family: Bacterial small subunit ribosomal RNA
Source: RNAcentral